RNAcentral lists this ribosomal RNA (1200 nucleotides) under marine metagenome. Its description in RNAcentral is "bacterial LSU rRNA". It matches the Rfam family "Bacterial large subunit ribosomal RNA", at positions 1734 to 2925 of the family's 2925-position model. The record is from RNAcentral.
CUUCGGGAUAAGGAGUGCCCUCAUAAGGUGAAAGAACUUGCUUCUGGAGCUGAAGAGGGUUGCAGUGACUAGGUAGCCGCGACUGUUUACUAAAAACACAGGACUCUGCUAAGUCGUAAGACGACGUAUAGGGUCUGACGCCUGCCCAAUGCUGGAAGGUUAAGAGGAGGUGUUAGCUUCGGCGAAGCUCCGAAUUGAAGCCCCAGUGAAUGGCGGCCGUAACUAUGACGGUCCUAAGGUAGCGAAGUUCCUUGUCGGGUAAGUUCCGACGCGCACGAAUGGCGUAACGACUGCCCCAUUGUCUCAACAUAGGGCUCGGUGAAAUUGUAGUCGCGGUGAAGAUGCCGCGUAACCGCACAAGGACGGAAAGACCCCGUGAACCUUUACUGCAGCCUGAUAUUGGGCUCUGACACAUUAUGUGUAGCAUAGGUGGGAGGCUUUGAAGCGGGCACGCUAGUGUUCGUGGAGCCACAAUGUGAAAUACCACUCUUAAUGUGUUAGUGUUCUAACUUGGUGCCUUGAAUCAGGGCCAAGAACAGUUUCAGGUGGGCAGUUUGGCUGGGGCGGUCUCCUCCUAAAUAGUAACGGAGGAGUCCGAUGGCUUCCUCAGGCUGGUUGGUAAUCAGCCGUAGAGCAUAAAGGUAUAAGGAAGCUUAACUGUGAGACAUAUAAGUCGAGCAGGUGUGAAAGCAGGGCUUAGUGAUCCGGUGAAUUCCGAAUGGAAGGGUCAUCGCUUAACAGAUAAAAGGUACUCCGGGGAUAACAGGCUGAUCUCCCCCAAGAGUCCAUAUCGACGGGGAGGUUUGGCACCUCGAUGUCGGCUCAUCACAUCCUGGGGCUGAAGAAGGUCCCAAGGGUUGGGCUGUUCGCCCAUUAAAGUGGUACGUGAGCUGGGUUCAGACCGUCGUGAGACAGGUCGGUCCCUAUCCGGUGUGGUUGUAGGAUACUUGAAGAGGUCUUUCCCUAGUACGAGAGGAUUGGGAAGGACGAAGCUCUGGUGCACCAGUUGUCUUGCUAAAGGCAUAGCUGGGUAGCUAACUUCGGAAAGGAUAAACGCUGAAAGCAUCUAAGCGUGAAGCCCUCUCUAAAACUAGGUAUCCCAAUUAGGGUCGUGGGAGACUACCACGUUGAUAGGCAGUAGCUGUAAGCACGGUAACGUGUUCAGGCGAGCUGUACUAAUAACCCGAACGGCUUGAUUCU